GAUGAACGCUGGCGGCGUGCCUAAUACAUGCAAGUCGAGCGAACAGACGAGGAGCUUGCUCCUCUGACGUUAGCGGCGGACGGGUGAGUAACACGUGGAUAACCUACCUAUAAGACUGGGAUAACUUAGGGAAACCGGAGCUAAUACCGGAUAAUAUAUUGAACCGCAUGGUUCAAUAGUGAAAGACGGCUUUGCUGUCACUUAUAGAUGGAUCCGCGCCGCAUUAGCUAGUUGGUAAGGUAACGGCUUACCAAGGCAACGAUGCGUAGCCGACCUGAGAGGGUGAUCGGCCACACUGGAACUGAGACACGGUCCAGACUCCUACGGGAGGCAGCAGUAGGGAAUCUUCCGCAAUGGGCGAAAGCCUGACGGAGCAACGCCGCGUGAGUGAUGAAGGUCUUCGGAUCGUAAAACUCUGUUAUUAGGGAAGAACAAAUGUGUAAGUAACUAUGCACGUCUUGACGGUACCUAAUCAGAAAGCCACGGCUAACUACGUG
This 497-nucleotide ribosomal RNA is filed under the name uncultured bacterium. RNAcentral's name for it is "partial 16S ribosomal RNA". It matches the Rfam family "Bacterial small subunit ribosomal RNA", at positions 28 to 507 of the family's 1533-position model. The record is from RNAcentral.